RNAcentral lists this non-coding RNA (30 nucleotides) under Homo sapiens (human). The record is from RNAcentral. Lineage: Eukaryota; Metazoa; Chordata; Mammalia; Primates; Hominidae.
UCCUAUAACAAAGUGACAUAGACUGGUAGC